AAGAUACUAGUAAAAUAGUACAUUACAUUGCCUUGUCAAGGCAGAAGUGUGGGUUAAACCCCCACGUAUCUUG
RNAcentral lists this transfer RNA (73 nucleotides) under Bellator egretta (streamer searobin). RNAcentral describes it as "tRNA-Asp". It matches the Rfam family "tRNA". Rfam says of the family: Transfer RNA (tRNA) molecules are approximately 80 nucleotides in length. Lineage: Eukaryota; Metazoa; Chordata; Actinopteri; Perciformes; Triglidae. The record is from RNAcentral.